This 447-nucleotide ribosomal RNA is filed under the name uncultured Hyphomicrobiales bacterium. Its description in RNAcentral is "bacterial SSU rRNA". It matches the Rfam family "Bacterial small subunit ribosomal RNA", at positions 29 to 523 of the family's 1533-position model. Lineage: Bacteria; Pseudomonadati; Pseudomonadota; Alphaproteobacteria; Hyphomicrobiales. The record is from RNAcentral.
AACGAACGCUGGCGGCAGGCUUAACACAUGCAAGUCGAGCGCCCCGCAAGGGGAGCGGCAGACGGGUGAGUAACGCGUGGGAAUCUACCCAUCUCUACGGAAUAACGCAUGGAAACGUGUGCUAAUACCGUAUACGUCCUUCGGGAGAAAGAUUUAUCGGAGAUGGAUGAGCCCGCGUUGGAUUAGCUAGUUGGUGGGGUAAAGGCCUACCAAGGCGACGAUCCAUAGCUGGUCUGAGAGGAUGAUCAGCCACACUGGGACUGAGACACGGCCCAGACUCCUACGGGAGGCAGCAGUGGGGAAUAUUGGACAAUGGGCGCAAGCCUGAUCCAGCCAUGCCGCGUGAGUGAUGAAGGCCCUAGGGUUGUAAAGCUCUUUCACCGGCGAAGAUAAUGACGGUAACCGGAGAAGAAGCCCCGGCUAACUUCGUGCCAGCCGCCGCGGUAA